Long non-coding RNA from Homo sapiens (human), 690 nucleotides. Lineage: Eukaryota; Metazoa; Chordata; Mammalia; Primates; Hominidae. The record is from Ensembl.
AGCAGGUCCCUUUUAGUGGAAAGAAAGCCUCAGUUGAAAAGGAAGAAGCCAAUGUAAAAAUGUGAAAUCAAAGCUCUUCUGAUAUGGUUGAAAACAAGUAACACACUAUAAAAAGCUGCAAGCUUGAGUUAUACACAUGUGACCUUGGAAAUACCAUUGGCUCAUCUACUAUUCAUGAUGAAAAAAUUGAGGCUCAAAGAAGUCCACCAAAUUGAGAGUGAAGUAGGGGAAACAGCAUUUAACGCUUACAUUCUAAUGAUUUGUGUAAGAGCAGCAGGACAAGCUAUACAAAGAAAAAGGUGGAAUUAUCAGGAUGGAAUUAAAGAUGCUUCCAAACAGAGGGGAUAUCUCAAGCCAUGACUCAGAGAGUUCUCCCCACAUUAUUAAUGGUAUGGGAAUUAGGAGAAGGUCAUCUGACUCACAUGGAUCACCAUAUAAUUCCUUCUGGAGAACAGAAAAAAUGCAGAAGAGGAAAACCUCCAUAUGUGAAGCUAUGGCAAGGGAGUCUCCCCACCCCGCGCUCCAACAGAGUCUGGAGAUAAAGUAAGUUUGAGAAGCUAGAAAGUGUUUUUCCCCAUUAUCUCCCAAACACUGUCAUUUGGCUGCAUGCAGAUUUCACUCUGGCUUUGGCAAAUGUGUCCCUUUAUGUAACAAUAAACAAUUAUAUUGAAAAGCAAGAUUGGAGAAAAA